GAUGAACGCUGGCGGCGUGCCUAAUACAUGCAAGUCGAGCGAACGGACGAGAAGCUUGCUUCUCUGAUGUUAGCGGCGGACGGGUGAGUAACACGUGGAUAACCUACCUAUAAGACUGGGAUAACUUCGGGAAACCGGAGCUAAUACCGGAUAAUAUUUUGAACCGCAUGGUUCAAAAGUGAAAGACGGUCCUGCUGUCACUUAUAGAUGGAUCCGCGCUGCAUUAGCUAGUUGGUAAGGUAACGGCUUACCAAGGCAACGAUGCAUAGCCGACCUGAGAGGGUGAUCGGCCACACUGGAACUGAGACACGGCCCAGACUCCUACGGGAGGCAGCAGUAGGGAAUCUUCCGCAAUGGGCGAAAGCCUGACGGAGCAACGCCGCGUGAGUGAUGAAGGUCUUCGGAUCGUAAAACUCUGUUAUUAGGGAAGAACAUAUGUGUAAGUAACUGUGCACAUCUUGACGGUACCUAAUCAGAAAGCCACGGCUAACUACGUG
RNAcentral lists this ribosomal RNA (497 nucleotides) under uncultured bacterium. RNAcentral's name for it is "partial 16S ribosomal RNA". It matches the Rfam family "Bacterial small subunit ribosomal RNA", at positions 28 to 507 of the family's 1533-position model. The record is from RNAcentral.